GAAAUGCACCAGGGGUGCCUGUGUCUGCUUCAGUCCUGGCUUUCUUUGGCCAGUAUAUGGGCAGGGUCGGCUGAGAAAGUCCCUUCGAACCUGAACAGGAUAAUGCCUGCGUAGGGAGUGUGCACUUUUGUGUUU
RNAcentral lists this non-coding RNA (135 nucleotides) under Nelumbo nucifera (sacred lotus). RNAcentral's name for it is "TPP sequence". It matches the Rfam family "TPP riboswitch aptamer (THI element)". From Rfam's summary of the family: Vitamin B(1) in its active form thiamin pyrophosphate (TPP) is an essential coenzyme that is synthesised by coupling of pyrimidine and thiazole moieties in bacteria. The previously detected thiamin-regulatory element, thi box was extended, resulting in a new, highly conserved RNA secondary structure, the THI element, which is widely distributed in eubacteria and also occurs in some archaea. Analysis of operon structures identified a large number of new candidate thiamin-regulated genes, mostly transporters, in various prokaryotic organisms. The record is from Rfam by way of RNAcentral. Lineage: Eukaryota; Viridiplantae; Streptophyta; Magnoliopsida; Proteales; Nelumbonaceae.